Molecule: non-coding RNA, 108 nt
Organism: Acanthosepion pharaonis
Lineage: Eukaryota; Metazoa; Mollusca; Cephalopoda; Sepiida; Sepiidae
Source: the annotation of a GenBank genome assembly
GCCAUAUCAUUUUGAAAAACCCGUUCCCUACGAUCACCGAAGUUAAGCAAAGCUGAACCUAGUUAGUACCUAGCUGGGAGACCGCUUGAAAAUAUUAGGUGAUGCAAG